GCCUAAGACCGCAAAUUCUUGAGCAAGACGUAGGAAAAGGCCAAGGAGGAGAAGCGGCGCAAUAGCUAGCUACUAGGGUUUUUCUCUCGCUUCUGCAACUUCCUCCGGUAUUAUUGACACCAUGUCUCGUGUGUACGUGGGUAACUUGGACCCCCGCGUUACUGAGCGUGAUCUUGAAGAUGAGUUUCGCAGAUUUGGAGUUAUAAGAAGUGU
RNAcentral lists this unclassified non-coding RNA (213 nucleotides) under Hevea brasiliensis (rubber tree). The record is from RNAcentral. Lineage: Eukaryota; Viridiplantae; Streptophyta; Magnoliopsida; Malpighiales; Euphorbiaceae.